GACGAACGCUGGCGGCGUGCCUAACACAUGCAAGUCGAACGGGGUUAAUUGCUUCGGUGAUUAACUUAGUGGCGAACGGGUGAGUAACGCGUGAGGAACCUGCCUUUCAGUGGGGGACAACAGUUGGAAACGACUGCUAAUACCGCAUAACAUAUCGAGAUCGCAUGAUUUUGAUAUCAAAGCUUUAUGUGCUGAAAGAUGGCCUCGCGUCUGAUUAGCUAGUUGGUGGGGUAACGGCCCACCAAGGCGACGAUCAGUAGCCGGCCUGAGAGGGUGAACGGCCACAUUGGGACUGAGACACGGCCCAAACUCCUACGGGAGGCAGCAGUGGGGAAUAUUGCACAAUGGGGGAAACCCUGAUGCAGCGACGCCGCGUGAGUGAAGAGUAUUUCGGUAUGUAAACCUCUGUCCUUGGUGACGAAGGAAGUGACGGUAGCCAAGGAGGAAAGCCCCGGCUAACUACGUG
RNAcentral lists this ribosomal RNA (466 nucleotides) under uncultured bacterium. RNAcentral's name for it is "bacterial SSU rRNA". It matches the Rfam family "Bacterial small subunit ribosomal RNA", at positions 28 to 507 of the family's 1533-position model. The record is from RNAcentral.